CCUACGGGAGGCAGCAGUGAGGAAUAUUGGUCAAUGGGCGCGAGCCUGAACCAGCCAAGUAGCGUGAAGGAUGACUGCCCUACGGGUUGUAAACUUCUUUUAUAAAGGAAUAAAGUGAGGCACGUGUGCCUUUUUGUAUGUACUUUAUGAAUAAGGAUCGGCUAACUCCGUGCCAGCAGCCGCGGUAAUACGGAGGAUCCGAGCGUUAUCCGGAUUUAUUGGGUUUAAAGGGAGCGUAGAUGGGUUGUUAAGUCAGUUGUGAAAGUUUGCGGCUCAACCGUAAAAUUGCAAUUGAUACUGGCGGUCUUGAGUACAGUUGAGGUAGGCGGAAUUCGUGGUGUAGCGGUGAAAUGCUUAGAUAUCACGCAGAACUCCGAUUGCGAAGGCAGCUUACUAAACUGCCACUGACAUUGAGGCUCGAAAGUGUGGGUAUCAAACAGGAUUAGAUACCCCUGUAGUC
This 460-nucleotide ribosomal RNA is filed under the name uncultured bacterium. Its description in RNAcentral is "partial 16S ribosomal RNA". It matches the Rfam family "Bacterial small subunit ribosomal RNA", at positions 338 to 795 of the family's 1533-position model. The record is from RNAcentral.